ACUCGAACACCGGUUGUCGUACGAUCACUGAAGUUAAGCAACGUUGAGCCUGGUUUGUACCUACAUGGGCGACCGCUUGAGAAUCCCGUGCGCUGCAAG
Non-coding RNA from Acanthosepion pharaonis, 99 nucleotides. The record is from the annotation of a GenBank genome assembly. Lineage: Eukaryota; Metazoa; Mollusca; Cephalopoda; Sepiida; Sepiidae.